RNAcentral lists this unclassified non-coding RNA (3753 nucleotides) under Leishmania donovani. RNAcentral describes it as "gene:LdHU3.07.1080(CDS-product:flavoprotein_subun it-like_protein)". The record is from RNAcentral. Lineage: Eukaryota; Euglenozoa; Kinetoplastea; Trypanosomatida; Trypanosomatidae.
CUUCGCUACGUAGGCCGUAGCCGUAUCUCUUUCUCGGUCUGUCUGUGGCCCGCGCCUCGUCGAAUCGUUUUCCGUUUUGUAUCGCUCAUUGCGUAGCACUUGUAUCGACCCACCGUUCACCUUCUCUCUCCUCUCUCUCCUCCCUCCCUCCCUCUCGGCAGCUCGUGAGCGUCGACACGCGUUGCCGUGCCCGCGCAAGUGUUUGUGUGUGUGUGUGUGUGCAUGCCACGCCCGCACUGUGUUCCUGUUACUUGAUACUAGUGCUUUCUGUCGCUGCCGUUAUUCUUCCUCGCUUUCUUUUUCUCUUGUUCCCUCUGUUGGCCUCUUCUCCCUUUUCAAGAGACAUGCCGCCGUCUCAGCCUCCGAUCGAGGGCGGUGCCAACCGCAUCAUCAUCGUUGGCGGCGGCCUCGCCGGCGUCUGCGCAGCGCACUCAAUUUUGCAGCACGGUGGCAGCGUACUGCUGCUCGACAAGUCCGCGUUUCUCGGCGGUAACAGCACCAAGGCGUCUAGUGGGAUCGCCGGCACGCCGACGCAGGCGCAGAUCGACUCCGGCGUGCUCGAUGGCGUGAAGCUGUUCACGGAGGACACAAACCGCAGCUUUCAUGGCGUGCAAGCGGGCGAGAAGCCCGGCCCCGUCUCGCCACUCGUGUCGGAGAUGGCGCGUCUGUCCGGUCCGUCGCUGGACUGGCUUGUCCGAUACUUCAACUGCGACCUGUCGAAGCUCGGCUUCAUGGGCGGCCAUAGCCGUCCCCGCACCCACCGCGGCAAGGAGAGGUUCCCUGGCAUGGCUAUCACGUACGCGCUGAUCAGUGCGCUGGAGGCGGUGCAGAAGGUAGACCCCGCAAGGGCCCGCAUCUUGACGAAGGCACGGGUGGUGCGCCUAGUGCGCCACCCGCUGGAUGGACCGGUCACCGGUGUCGUCUUUCAGGACCGCGAAGGUAACCAGCAUAUGGAGCGGGGUGCCGUGGUGAUCGCGACCGGCGGCUUUGCGGCAGACUUCGCCCAGGACGACUCGUCGCUCAUCGCCCGGUUUGCCCCGCAGCUGACCAAGUUUUCCACGACGAACGCCGAUCACGCGACCGGCGACGGCAUCAAGAUCGCUGAGCAAGCUGGCGCCGGUCUUGUCGAUAUGGACCGCAUUCAGGUGCACCCGUCCGGCCUCGUCGACCCGCGCGACCCUAACAACCACGUCAAGUUCCUGUGCGCCGAGGCGACGCGCGGAGCCGGUGGCAUCGUGGUCGACAGGCACGGGCAGCGCUUCGUGGACGAGCUGGCGCGCCGCGAUCAGGUCAGCGCCGCCAUGCUGAAGCACGACGGCGCCAGCCCCUUUUAUCUUCUGCUGAACGAGAAGAGCGCCAGGGAAAUGGAGUGGCACUGCAAGCACUACGUGGGCCGUGGCCUCAUGAAGCGCUACGCCAGUGGCCACGAGUUCUGUAAGGCUACCAGGAUAAAGACCGAGGCCCUGGCGGCGACGUAUGCGCAGUACAAGAAGGAUGCCGCGGUCAACGCCGCCUCGCGCGGUGCCGACUCCGGCGCCGCAGGAGCCGCGAAGCGAGGCUUUUUUUCCUCUCUCUUUGGCCUUGGCGAGAAGCGAGUGGCGGCGGGCACUGCGGUAGCCAAGGACAGCAGCCGCGGCACCCCCGACCAGUUUGGCAAGACGGUAUUCCGCAACGUGGACGCCUUCAGCAUGGAGGGCCCGCUCUACGUCGCGUGGAUCGCGCCUGUUGUGCACUACACGAUGGGUGGCUUGCACGUCAACGAGCGCGCCGAGGUGCUAGACGCGAAGACGAAGAAGCCGAUUCCUGGCCUGUACUGCGCCGGCGAGGCCGCUGGCGGCGUGCACGGCAAGAACCGGCUCGGCGGCAACUCGCUGCUGGACUGUGUCGUGUACGGCCGCGUGGCUGGCGAGGCGGCGACCAAGUACCUAUUCGCCACAUACAUGGGGCCCUUCUCGAACAACCGCCUGAACACAAUCUACUCGCACCUCGCCAUCGAGGACCUGCCGCUGGUUCCGAAGGCAGCCGCCCCCGCCAAGCCGGCAGAGGCGCCAGCCGACAGCAAGGAAGCUUCUGCUUGCAGCGACGCUUCCCCGGCGACCGCCGUGGAUGGGGAGAGCAAGGGCUUGAAGCGCUACACUCGCGCGGAGGUGGCGAAGCACAACAAGGAGUCGGACUGCUGGUGCAUCGUGCGCGGCCUGGUGCUGAAUCUGACUGAAUUCCUGCCGGAUCACCCAGGCGGCAAGCAGUCGGUGCUGAUGUACGCCGGCAGCGAUGCGACCAAGGAGUUUGACCUGGUGCAUCAGCCGGAGGUGAUCGACAAGUAUACGCCGGACGCCAUCAUUGGUGUUGUGUCGGACUAGACGUCAGCCCUGUCCCCUCACCUCCACAUGCGUGCGAGGGGCAGGGAGAAGGAGGGAGGGAGCGAGCGACGGCGAGGUGUGUGUGUGUGUGUGGCACAGGUGCUCAACGAAGAGAAAGAGGCGGGCAAGGAGAUGACAGGGACACCACCACCCCGAACGCACCGUGUGUCCGCGCGCCUCCAGCACCACCGCUCCCCAUGGGCCCCUCCCCCUUCUACAACGUCCCUGAAUCGCUUCCAGCAUGCUCUGCAUGCGUUGUGUUUUGUUUUGUGUCUGUCCCCUCCCUCUCUCCUUCCCAAGCACAUGCACAUCUUAUACACUUAGUUCAUACAUUAUAAUAUGCACAUACCUAUCUAUCUAUAUAGAUGUACGCCAUGCUCUUUAACGCUUCGCCGUGUGUUGUGCAUCUCUCAGCAGAAGCCCCCUCCCUUCCCCUCCCCCCAUUAUAUCCUUAUCCAGUCCUCCCUCCCUCCUUACUGCACAUGGCGACAUGAUAUAGUAACGGCCAAACGAGCCUAGAGGAGGAGGGGUGACGAUCACAACGUACGAAGAAGCGAGAGGCUGAGGGGUGCUCUGCUGAUAGAGACGCGGACUUGUGAACGCGUGCGCACCGGCACGCUGGCCUCCGCCUCCGCCUCCCACCCCACUCUCUUCCUCGAUAGGCGCACCUGUCACCAAAUUCUUACAAAACUCGGAUCCCACAUGCGAGUGGGGUCUAUGGCAUGCACGUUCUUGCUGUCGCGUGGGGACAUCAGGUCCAACGCGUGCGCCACGGCAGCUGGCGUCCCUCGCCUCCCUCCAGGGGCGCGCCCCUUCGGUGAGCUUCGCGCUCUGUCCCUUCGCUUCGUUCGAGGUGCUCUGUUUUCGUCGUCACGUUACGAACGCCCCCGCCCUCCAAGGAGAAACGGACAAGAAGGCUAACCCAUAAAACGUCGAAGCAGCAGCGGCAGCCGCCCGCACAAGUGCGGCGCAUCCAGACACGCACCCACUCACCAGAGGGCACGUCAAGAGAUUCUGGGGUUGAGCGAGUGCGUUGACGUGCACGUGUGUAGGCGGGCCAGGUGCUUCGCGUUGUCUUGCUUGGUCUUGUUCUUUCCGCCUUUUCCUACUCCUUGUGCCACUUUUCUGGAGCGUGCGUGCCUAUCCUUGUUCUUUUUCCGCCAUCCUAGGGAGUCGAGCCGUAGGGAGGCCUGCGCGGUUCUAAAUGUGUGGGGCGAUGCCUUUUCAUCAGCCGGGUCUCUCGACGGCACCAGAGGAGUUCGAGGAGAAGCGACUCGAUGUGCACUGUCCCACUCCCCCACCUGUGUUGCUUAUACAUAUAUGUGUGUUCCCUCAUGCAUGUUUUUGUCUAAGGCACAAGUGUGCAGAGGGGAGAGCGUGCUGCAAAACUUGU